CAAACAAAGUGAGAAGAAUAAGAGCACCACAUUGAAGCUGCCCAGCAACACCCGUAGGGGUGGUGUUGUCAUCAUGUUUGACAGUCUCCUGGAGGGGAAGGAGUCUCUCCGAGAAAUGGCCAUAUCACAGUCUGCCGAUAUGGACAGCCCCAUAAAGAGGAUCCUCCUGGAUGAUGUAUUUUGGGAGAGAGUGGUAAGCAGCCUGAAACUCCUGAAACCUAUAGCAGUAGCCUUUGCACGGAUUGAGGAGACAAUGCCAUCCUGUCUGAUGUUCAGACUCUGCAGUAUUUCACUGCCCACUUCACUGUUGCUCCAAGCAGAGGAAACUGCAGUUCUGAAAUACAUCAAAAAGCGUGAAGACUUCUGCCAGAAGCCCAUACACGCCGCAAUGUACAUGUUAGACCCCAAGUAUGCUGGCAAGAGCAUCCUGUCUGGUGCAGAGAUCAACAAGGCCUAUGGUGUCAUCACUACCAUGUCUCACCACCUUCGCCUAGAUGAGGGCAAGGUUCUUGGCAGUCUGGCCAAGUACACUUUCAAGCAAGGGCUUUGGGAUGGAGAUGCAAUAUGGCAGUCGUGCCAACCUAUCUCAGCAGCCAUCUGGUGGAAGGGACUUUGGAUCUGAGGCUCUUUCCCCUGUUGCCUCCAUCAUCCUCCAAAUCCCACCAACAUCAGCCGCCUCAGAGUGCAACUGGUCCUUGUUUGGGAACACACACACCAAAGCACGCAACAGGCUGACCAAUACAAGGGUUGAAAAAUCGGUGGCCAUCCAGGCAAAUUUGAGACUUUUUGAGCCUGACCGAGCCAUCCUCAACAAGGUUGGAAAGUGACAAUGAAGAUGAGGCCUCAGUCUGAUGUCUUUGCCAGGUCGCAGUUGUAAAUGAGAACUUGUUCUCAACUAGCCUACCUGGUUAAAUAAAGGUGAAAUAAAAAAAAUGUUCAAGAGGUGGACAUUGAGGAUUUCCAGGGAGAAGACAUGGAUGCCUGAGAGGAAGACAGUCUAAAAACUAAAGCUUUGGUUAUCAUUUUACAGAUGUAUAUUGACAACGAUUUUGGGAGAUGCGAUGGAUCAUUGGGAUCAUUCAAUAUUCCCUUUCUUUUGUUGUUCAGUGAAAUCAUCCCAUGUGAAGAGUCAACUCAUUUAAUUAAACUUCAAUCCGUAACUAAAUUUUUUUUUUUAUUUCUAUUGGAAGGAUUUAAUCAAUUGCAAUUGUCUAUUUAUGAUAAGGUAAAAUGUUUGUUUCUGUCUCCAUAUGAUAUGGUAAAUAUAUCCAAUGCAAAAGAC
This 1282-nucleotide long non-coding RNA is filed under the name Salmo salar (Atlantic salmon). RNAcentral's name for it is "lncRNA (ENSSSAG00000084995.1)". Lineage: Eukaryota; Metazoa; Chordata; Actinopteri; Salmoniformes; Salmonidae. The record is from RNAcentral.